This is a long non-coding RNA of Camelina sativa (false flax), 1014 nucleotides long. RefSeq lists it as uncharacterized. The record is from RefSeq and is a predicted model, not a curated record. NCBI's taxonomy places the organism in Eukaryota, Viridiplantae, Streptophyta, Magnoliopsida, Brassicales, Brassicaceae.
UUCUUCUCAGCAUAUACAUAUAUAAUAUAGCUAACCCAAUUUUUAGGGAUUGCCAUGUCACUAUUUUUAUUCAACGGAUAAGAUUGUUUUGUUUUCUGAUCCUACGGUUAAGAUUUAUUAUGAUGUCAUAAAUUUAUUAAAUUAAAAGGCACUUCUCUUUGCUUCCUUCCCCAAAUCUUCAAAUCGUGGCUUCUUUUUGUUUUGCCCUACCGAAUCCAGCGCAUCUCUUUGUAAAAAACCUGUUCAAUUGCCUCUUUUCAUACAUUUUAUAUCCGGGAUACAUUCACAGUUUAUAAUGGUCCAUGUUUUUUUUAUUUUCUCUUCUCAUCCAAAAAUUGAACAGGUACUUUAGUGGGAGAUAUGAGUAUUUUUUUUUUAUUUCCUCUUCUCAUCGAAAAACUGAACAGACUUGUAGAUUCUCGCUGAGGAGGAGGAGGUUAAUGACCACUUGAAACAUCUUCAGAAUAGUGAGGAAAGUUGUUCUUGGAGGAAGACGUGCCGGAAGGAUUUUAAAAUUGGGGGUUGCAACGAUUGGGAUGUUACCACGAACCCGCAUCACCAAAACUCUCACUAACAUACCACCUCCUGAGUCGUAAUUUUGAUUUCUUUAUUAUCUGAUUGUAUUUAUUUAUGGUAUUAGAACAGGUCUAAUUAUUUAAUACAGGUACCACCCGUGGAAGUCUAGUCCUAAUUUUAGUAACACAUUAUUUUGUCGUAGAAGGUAUGCAGCAGUGGAACUAAAAAAUUAUCUUUACAGGGGUCAAAGAUAAUAAUCAUGGGUCAAAGGAUGUAAACUUUGGUUAAUGGGAACCGCCAUUGGGUGCAUGCCGCUGAUAGAUUUAUCAUGGAGGGAGAGUUAGGGCAUGCAUGUAAUUGGAUCGGUGUUCAAACGAUGGACCGUCUCUGGUCCAUUACAAAUGACCACUAUGGUUCAUUUUUUUCAAAUGUUGAAUUUUAAUGUAUCAGAAGAAAUAACAAUAAAGCUGCGAAACAAUUAGGGAAAAGGAACAUUGU